RNAcentral lists this unclassified non-coding RNA (205 nucleotides) under Glomeraceae sp. RNAcentral's name for it is "partial contains 5.8S ribosomal RNA and internal transcribed spacer 2". The stretch from base 1 to 72 matches the Rfam family "5.8S ribosomal RNA", at positions 84 to 154 of the family's 154-position model. Lineage: Eukaryota; Fungi; Glomeromycota; Glomeromycetes; Glomerales; Glomeraceae. The record is from RNAcentral.
GUGAAUCAUCAAAUUUUUGAACGCAACUUGCACUCUCCGGUUUUCCGGGAGAGUAUGCCUGUUUGAGGGUCUGUUUAAAAAAUAAUCGAAGCUGCUGCUGUGGUGGCGCUUCGGAAUUGGGUCAUCUUCCACCUUUCGGGGUUGUAAGCGACCUAAAAUUUUUUUACGGUUUCUACGGAAGGGGCUAAAGAUUUUUCUUUUUAGG